AACUGUGGCGUCGUCAGCCUCCAUACAG
RNAcentral lists this non-coding RNA (28 nucleotides) under Cricetulus griseus (Chinese hamster). The record is from RNAcentral. Lineage: Eukaryota; Metazoa; Chordata; Mammalia; Rodentia; Cricetidae.